UGGGGAAUAUUGCACAAUGGAGGGAACUCUGAUGCAGCGACGCCGCGUGAACGAAGAAGGCUUUCGAGUCGUAAAGUUCUUUUAUAUGGGAAGAUAAUGACGGUACCAUAAGAAAAAGCUCCGGCUAACUACGUGCCAGCAGCCGCGGUAAUACGUAGGGGGCUAGCGUUGUCCGGAAUCACUGGGCGUAAAGGGUUCGCAGGCGGAAAUGCAAGUCAGGUGUAAAAGGCAGUAGCUUAACUACUGUAAGCAUUUGAAACUGCAUAUCUUGAGAAGAGUAGAGGUAAGUGGAAUUUUUAGUGUAGCGGUGAAAUGCGUAGAUAUUAAAAAGAAUACCGGUGGCGAAAGCGACUUACUGGGCUCAUUCUGACGCUGAGGAACGAAAGCGUGGGUAGCAAACAGG
RNAcentral lists this ribosomal RNA (403 nucleotides) under Fusobacteriota bacterium. RNAcentral describes it as "Fusobacteria bacterium partial 16S ribosomal RNA". It matches the Rfam family "Bacterial small subunit ribosomal RNA", at positions 355 to 776 of the family's 1533-position model. Lineage: Bacteria; Fusobacteriati; Fusobacteriota. The record is from RNAcentral.